Molecule: long non-coding RNA, 558 nt
Filed under: Olea europaea (common olive)
Lineage: Eukaryota; Viridiplantae; Streptophyta; Magnoliopsida; Lamiales; Oleaceae
Description: long non-coding RNA (OEUR_LNC014281)
Source: RNAcentral
GAGGCGAUUGGAAACGUCUAUCAGCCUAUCUAGCUUGUAGCUCAUACCUUCUGAGUGGAUAAAACUUAUUUUUCAUAAAUAAGUCUUCAUUAUAUUUUAAAGUUAUUUAUUGUAUAAAGUUGACUUUAUAGCAUGAUUUUCAGAAUAAAUUGGAUUUUAUUAACAAUUGCUUUUAAAGUUAAAUUCAGUUUAAUUAAAUCAUUUGACUAGCAUGUUAUAUGAAUAUAGAUGUUUCAGUAUAGCUAAAGUUAUUUUAAAACCAUCAGAAAGUACCCAGGUGAUUUUAUCCCAGUCUGCACUGAUGUGAAUGUGUUUCCACAGUGUAUGACUACUUACAGUGAUUUUACCCGCUCUGCACUAUUGUAAAUGUGUUUCCAUAGUGUAUGACCAGAUUUUCAGAGGUCUUUGGGACCCACUCUCGUACACAUAUAGGCUUUGGGCCGUGUACUAGGGUGAUUAGCCUUUGGGGCAGCUCUGCGUACGUAUGACCAGAUUAUCAGAUUAUCAGCUAUCAGAUUAUCAGAUUUGAAUGGCUUUGCCUUGUACAUCGAGAUUACU